AAACCUGAGAAACCCGAAAGAUCGAAUGGGGAGAUUCAUCGUCAGCGAUUCCGGUACGUGUGCGGCUCGCGAUGUCCGAGACUUCGGUCUCGCGACACGCGUCCGCAUGUUUUUUAUUGCUGGAAUCGUCGGCGUGCACUUCUCCCCUAGUAGGACGUCGCGACCCGUUGGGUGUCGGUCUACGGCACGGUAGGGCAGCCUGUCACGCGUGUCGCUUCACGGCGUUACCCGGGGCAGACCUCCGUUCGCCCGACCGACUGCUCGGCGGUACUCGCAAGGUAUCUGGCCGCAGACAUACGAACUGCGUCCGGCCCGUCGCAAGCGCGGCAAGUGUUUCCCGGCUGUACGGAUCUAAUGCCGUCACCGGGCCUUGCCAGCUGUUGGUUGACGGUGUCCUAGGACUGGCUAAAAGAUACCGGUCGGCGACGCUACUGCUUUGGGUACUUUCAGGACCCGUCUUGAAACACGGACCAAGGAGUCUAACAUGUGCGCGAGUCAUUGGGAUCUAUUAAGCCUAAAGGCGCAAUGAAAGUGAAGAUCGGCCUCGCGCCGAUCGAGGGAGGAUGGGCCGCGUCACGAUGCGGUCCCGCACUCCCGGGGCGUCUCGUUCUCAU
Molecule: ribosomal RNA, 614 nt
Filed under: Diphyus albicoxalis
Lineage: Eukaryota; Metazoa; Arthropoda; Insecta; Hymenoptera; Ichneumonidae
Description: eukaryotic LSU rRNA
Rfam family: Eukaryotic large subunit ribosomal RNA
Source: RNAcentral